Long non-coding RNA from Ipomoea triloba (trilobed morning glory), 266 nucleotides. RefSeq lists it as uncharacterized. Lineage: Eukaryota; Viridiplantae; Streptophyta; Magnoliopsida; Solanales; Convolvulaceae. The transcript has 2 exons. The record is from RefSeq and is a predicted model, not a curated record.
GCUAGGCAAGGGGCACAAUUGCAAUAUCAAACUAGAGAAGGGGCGAAAAUUUCUCCCAUCCGUAUAUAAUUUACGAAUCCUAUAGUCUCUAUUUUCUCGAAAGUUGAAAAUUGGAAGUUGAAAGUUGAAAGCCGCUGCUUUCUCUUCUUUGUCGUUCCGCGAUUCCAAAAGCCACGACCCUGAUUCUCUAGAUUGAUUGGAGUGCACCUGUAAUUGCCUUGGGGAGUGAUUAUUUUCCAUAAAGAUUCAAUUUUUAAUUCUGUAAG